This is a long non-coding RNA of Gadus macrocephalus (Pacific cod), 1169 nucleotides long. RefSeq lists it as uncharacterized. The record is from RefSeq and is a predicted model, not a curated record. Lineage: Eukaryota; Metazoa; Chordata; Actinopteri; Gadiformes; Gadidae. The transcript has 2 exons.
AGGGAAGUAUAAGAGGCAACAGAUGUGAGAGAAGGAUGGAGUGAUAAGGCAGCAGUUUAGCUGGGUGGUGUCAACCCCCUAGCCCAUUGGGUCUUGGGUUCGAUCCACAAUCUGGCUUUGGGCAUUGCAGAGCAAGAGGCUUGCUCCUAAAUGAAUGUAGCUCUAUAAUCACAGUACAGCGCAUUUUAAAUGACUACACAAGCAACAACAGAUGAGCAUCAUUCAAGCAAGCACCCACCACCCACCAAAAAAAAAAGAAAUCUGUUGUUUCACACAUAUUUACUUUAAUUAGCACUGUAACCCAAUAAAAUCAGAUUUUUUUCAGCGAGAAUAUUUACUAUAGCCAUGUAUAAUUUCUUUGCAAAAAAAUGUAAUAAUUUUUCUAUUGAUUAACAAUACUGACACCUAUGAACAACAUCACUUCCAGUAGAGCUUUUUUUUUUCUCUCUAUGUACAUUCUUGUUCUUAGUAUAUGCAACGCACUCGUACAAACUACUGUUGGAGCACACACCGAAAGACGGGAAAACACGCAGGUUUUCGCUUCUCUAAAGGGGUGUCGAGACUCGACAAGGCCUCUCUUGUACAAUAUGUAAACGAUAGUAUAUCCGAGGUAAACCAUUUAAUUUAACUCAAAUUGCAAACAGAGAGCUCCUGAUCUAUCUGAGUUCAGGCCGGGAUAAGGAUUGUUUUGUGGUGGUGGUGGUGGUGUUUUCUCGUUCCUCAUGGUGUCGGGGUUCACCCUGCUGUCUUUAACUUCCACAGCUCCGCUGAAGUUCGACAGAUGAGCAGCACCCCUCUGAUGAACCGCGUCGGAAGGGAGCAGGGGGAAAGUGUGUGUGAGUCUGUCGUUCUGUCAGUAGGAGUCCGUCUGUCAGUCGGCCCCGCGCGUCUCCCAGGCGAGUCUGGAUACAAAAAGCGAAGCCACGGCCAAAUCACACUGCUUGUGCCACUGUUUAGAAAUUGGCAAAACUGGACGAUAAUAAUAAAAUACCAUCAUUUUGUCACAAUUAAAGGCAUUUGGAAAUGAUUUUUUUCUCCCCCCUCCCCCCUCCCCCCGCAACCCCACCUCCUUGUGUUUUUUUUCUUCUUCUUCUUCUUCUACUACUUCUAACUCUGUUGUCUUCGUGUUCCGGUUCUUCUUUGAUACAGUAUAGAAACAGUAGGACAAA